CCUACGGGUGGCAGCAGUGAGGAAUAUUGGUCAAUGGACGAGAGUCUGAACCAGCCAAGUAGCGUGAAGGAUGACUGCCCUAUGGGUUGUAAACUUCUUUUAUAUGGGAAUAAAACGUUCCACGUGUGGGAUUUUGUAUGUAUCAUAUGAAUAAGGAUCGGCUAACUCCGUGCCAGCAGCCGCGGUAAUACGGAGGAUCCGAGCGUUAUCCUGAUUUAUUGGGUUUAAAGGGAGCGUAGGUGGAUUGUUAAGUCCGUUGUGAAAGUUUGCGGCUCAACCGUAAAAUUGCAGUUGAAACUGGCAGUCUUGAGUACAGUAGAGGUAGGCGGAAUUCGUGGUGUAGCGGUGAAAUGCGUAGAUAUCACGAAGAACUCCGAUUGCGAAGGCAGUUCACUGGACUGCAACUGACACUGAGGCUCGAAAGUGUGGGUAUCAAACAGGAUUAGAUACCCUAGUAGUC
RNAcentral lists this ribosomal RNA (460 nucleotides) under uncultured bacterium. RNAcentral's name for it is "partial 16S ribosomal RNA". It matches the Rfam family "Bacterial small subunit ribosomal RNA", at positions 338 to 795 of the family's 1533-position model. The record is from RNAcentral.